This 404-nucleotide ribosomal RNA is filed under the name uncultured bacterium. RNAcentral describes it as "bacterial SSU rRNA". It matches the Rfam family "Bacterial small subunit ribosomal RNA", at positions 28 to 420 of the family's 1533-position model. The record is from RNAcentral.
GAUGAACGCUAGCGGCAGGCUUAACACAUGCAAGUCGGAGGGGUAACAGGUUAGUAGCAAUACUGAUGCUGACGACCGGCGCACGGGUGCGUAACGCGUAUGCAACCUACCUUAUACAGGGGGAUAACCUUUCGAAAGGGAGACUAACACCGCAUAACAUUGUUUUCAGGCAUCUGGGGAUAAUUAAAUGAGCGAUCAGGUAUAAGAUGGGCAUGCGUAGCAUUAGUUAGAUGGCGAGGUAACGGCUCACCAUGGCGAUGAUGCUUAGGGGUUCUGAGAGGAAGGUCCCCCACACCGGUACUGAGAUACGGUCCAAACUCCUACGGGAGGCAGCAGUGAGGAAUAUUGGUCAAGUCGGGCGGAAGCCUGAACCAGCCAAGUAGCGUGAAGGACGACUGCCCUAU